UACUAGAGUAGCACUCGCAUAUCAAUAAGCGGAGGAAAAGAAACUAACAAGGAUUCCCCUAGUAACGGCGAGUGAAGCGGGAAGAGCUCAAAUUUGAAAUCUUAAAGGGUUUCCCUUUACGAAUUGUAGUUUAAAGAAGUGGUUUCUGUUGAGGUUUUGGUAAAAGUUCUUUGGAAUAGGACAUCAUAGAGGGUGAGAAUCCCGUAUUUGACCUUUACUUUCAACUUUGUGAUACACUUUCAAAGAGUCGGAUUGUUUGGGAAUGCAGUCCAAAAUGGGUGGUAAAUUUCAUCUAAAGCUAAAUAUUGGCGAGAGACCGAUAGCGAACAAGUACCGUGAGGGAAAGAUGAAAAGAACUUUGAAAAGAGAGUUAAACAGUACGUGAAAUUGUCAAAAGGGAAGCGUUUGACACCAGUGUUGUUUUUCUGAAAAUCAAUUAAAGAACUGUUUAUGCUAAGCUGUUUAGACUUUAUCAGCUAUCUGUUUAGUUUUGAGCUUUUCUUUAAUGCACUUUUCAGUUAACAAGUCAACAUCAAUUUCUUUUGCUGUAAAAAAGCUUGAGGAAGGUGGCUUGAGAUUCGUCUUAAGUGUUUAUAGCCUCUUGCCUAUGCAGUCGGAGAGAUUGAGGUCUGCAGCGUAGAUCCUUCGGGGCUAAAUGCAUUUGUGCUAAGUUAUAGCAUUUUAUAGACAACUUGUUGACUAUGGUUUGUCUUGUAGCUUACUCGCUUAUGUUAUUUUACCUACGCUUAGGAUGUUGAAGACUCUACAGAGAUA
RNAcentral lists this ribosomal RNA (774 nucleotides) under uncultured Neocallimastigales. Its description in RNAcentral is "partial large subunit ribosomal RNA". It matches the Rfam family "Eukaryotic large subunit ribosomal RNA", at positions 20 to 633 of the family's 3401-position model. Lineage: Eukaryota; Fungi; Neocallimastigomycota; Neocallimastigomycetes; Neocallimastigales. The record is from RNAcentral.